AUUAAUGGUCUUUUUACCUCUUCUUCUAUUAUAUAUAAAUGUUUCGAACAGUUGUAUAAUAUUGAAUAUUACACGAAAAGACAGCCAAUUCCAGACGAAAUAUUCAUUUCGAACAAAUAAUAAGUGAGCACCUCAACAAUCUAGAACGAUGGAAUACAUUCAAGUUCUUCUGUUUUUGGUGUUUUUGAUCUGCAGUGUCAUUCUUGGAACAUCUGCUCAGCUUUUGCAAGUGGAUCUGCUUCCGCAAUCGCAACGAGUUGCCCAACCAAGCAAUGAAAGGAUGCUUGCUUCGAUCAAUGCGUUAUGAGUGGUCACGUGACCUAAUUCGUCAUCCUCACUUGCUGAUUCGUCAUAGAUGACGAUAUUAAAAAACAAGUUGAAUUAAUUUUAUAUGUGAAUGUGGCGUGCUGUGCAUUACAAAAAAUUA
Argiope bruennichi is the source of this 427-nucleotide long non-coding RNA. RefSeq lists it as uncharacterized. The record is from RefSeq and is a predicted model, not a curated record. The transcript has 3 exons. Lineage: Eukaryota; Metazoa; Arthropoda; Arachnida; Araneae; Araneidae.